GAUUGACAAACUAAGAGAGGCGGCCGUGAUGGGACAGCGCACAGCACACGCCUGGCGUGGACAGCGGCAAUGGGACGCGAGCACUUAAUUUUGGAGGAGGUGCCAUCACGCAUAGAACUGGACUGCACGCUGCUGAGGUAGCAGGGCUUAGAUCACACGCUCACAAGUCUCGGUUGUCCAAAAAAGCCUCUGUUCCCAUCUCUAACGUGGAGCUGGAAUGGUAUCCUCUGAAUUCAAGUUUGAGCUGAUCUUCAACUCUGUGUUCAAUCAUACUAUGCUGAUGGAAAUCUGGGUAAGCCAAAAUCCCCUUUCUCUGGGAUUUACCGUUGGAAUUUGGUUGGUUGACCUCAGGCAGGUGAACAAGAAGAGACACGCAGUAAUAAAAUUCAAGAAGUGCAGAAUUUAGAGCAUUCUCAGUGCUAGGGUAAGUAGAUGUUACAAAGAUGGCGCUGAUGACAAAAAGAUGAAUGGAGCCUCAAAGCCGGAAGACUGCAGCCCAGUGUGAGAACCAGCCUAAAGCUCUUGCAAGGAGGGUGCAGCAUCACCAUAGAACCUGGCUGUGUACCGUGUGGUCAAGUCAGAGAACACGCCAGCUUUUAAAAG
Long non-coding RNA from Mirounga angustirostris (Northern elephant seal), 603 nucleotides. RefSeq lists it as uncharacterized. The transcript has 3 exons. NCBI's taxonomy places the organism in Eukaryota, Metazoa, Chordata, Mammalia, Carnivora, Phocidae. The record is from RefSeq and is a predicted model, not a curated record.